Molecule: RNase P RNA, 377 nt
Filed under: Pseudo-nitzschia fraudulenta
Lineage: Eukaryota; Bacillariophyta; Bacillariophyceae; Bacillariales; Bacillariaceae
Description: partial Bacterial RNase P class A
Rfam family: Bacterial RNase P class A
About the family: Ribonuclease P (RNase P) is a ubiquitous endoribonuclease, found in archaea, bacteria and eukarya as well as chloroplasts and mitochondria.
Source: RNAcentral
GCUGCUCGUCAUUAUUUGAUGGGGGGAGGAAAGUCCGGGCAGCACAGAGUACCGUACUUCCUAACGGGAAGGGUCAGCUUCGGUUGAUACAGAUAGUGCCACAGAAAAUUAAACUACUUAGUUGGACAUUGAGCGUAGUCGAAAUGACCAGUUAAGAAAAGGUGAAAAGGUGAGGUAAGAGCUCACCGGGCUGUUGGUGACAAGAGUCGCAUGGUAAACCUUACGGGCUGAAAGACCAAAUAAACCCAGGAUGAUUGAACGCAAGUUUGAUUGGAAGAGCUACUCGCUUGAUCUGGGAGGGUAGGUCGUUCGAUCCUAGUCGCGAGGCUAGGGCUAGAUAAAUGAUAAGCGUCGUGCAAACGAUUACAGAAUCCGGC